AAGUCGUAACAAGGUUUCCGUAGGUGAACCUGCGGAAGGAUCAUUAUCGUAGGGCUUCUGCCCUGUCGAGAUAGCGUCCUUGCCUAUUUUUUGGAGUACCUUUCCGUUUCCUCAGCAGGCUUGCCUGCUACUGGGGACCUAUUAAACUCUUUGUAAAUACAGCAUCUGUCUGAAUAAACAAACAAAAAAUCAAAACUUUCAACAAUGGAUCUCUUGGUUCUGGCAUCGAUGAAGAACGCAGCAAAAUGCGAUAAGUAGUGUGAAUUGCAGAAUUCAGUGAAUCAUCGAAUCUUUGAACGCACAUUGCGCCCUUUGGUAUUCCUUAGGGCAUGCCUGUUCGAGCGUCAUUUACACCUUCAAGCACAGCUUGGUGUUGGGCGUCUGUCCCUAGUGGACUCGCCUCAAAAGGAUUGGCAGCCAUUCCAGCGGCUUUGAGCGCAGCAGAAUUGCGUCUUCUGGCAGCGGAGGGUGGCAUCCAUAAGCUUUUUUCUUAGUUUGACCUCGGAUCAGGUAGGGAUACCCGCUGAACUUAA
Molecule: ribosomal RNA, 533 nt
Filed under: uncultured fungus
Lineage: Eukaryota; Fungi
Description: eukaryotic LSU rRNA
Rfam family: 5.8S ribosomal RNA (bases 194-347)
Source: RNAcentral